UUUCUUCUGUACAAUCAUGAUGUUACUGUGUUUUUUGCUCCUGCUGUCAGUAAUACAGGCAGUGCAAACAUGAUUUCUUAUUCUUAUCUACUUGUGCUAUUAACCUUUCUCGAUAAAUCUUUUGGACAGUCAAUCACACCAUUGCAGAAUGAAACACAUGCCACUGAGGGAGACACAGUCAUUCUCUCAUGCAAAUAUGAUACCCAAGUAACCAAUUUACAGUGGUAUCGACAAUAUCAUGGAUCCAGACCUGAAUAUCUGCUUCUUGUUUAUGAGUCAAACAGUGUAUUGCAUGCAGAUAAUUCUUUCCUAAAACUGAACGCUACAGUAAACAAGAUGAAGAAGCAGGUGGAUCUGAAGAUCUCAUCUGUUAAAGUCACAGACUCUGCUCUGUAUUAUUGUGCACUGACGCCCACAGUGACAGGAAACACAACAACACUGUACAAAAACCUCAGUGAUGAGACAAAACAUGAAAUUAAUAUCUGUCUGUUUAUCAAAACCUUAUAGGGUUUGGUAUUUGCAUUUGUUUCUAUGUCUUUGUUAUUGUUUUCUAUGUCUAUAUCAGUUUAAUGUCUUAUACAGUAAAUCUAGUCAUAGUGCAAAAGUGACAAAAGACCAUGACUUGUAAUGUAAAUAAUUAAACACAUUGCAUAGUUUAUUGAUUUGAAUAGAAAAGUACAAAAUAUAAUUUAAAUGGAUACUCUCACUUUUUAUAGCAUUUGUUAUUGAAUCAUUUGCAAAAUGAGUAAAAUAAAUGUAAAACUUGUCUUUAAAGAUGCAUACAAGAUAA
Molecule: non-coding RNA, 790 nt
Organism: Misgurnus anguillicaudatus (oriental weatherfish)
Lineage: Eukaryota; Metazoa; Chordata; Actinopteri; Cypriniformes; Cobitidae
Source: the annotation of a RefSeq genome assembly